CCUCAUCGGUCUGCGCUGGGGGCUACGAGGAGACCCCCUUCCUACUAUGGGCAACCAGGUGAUCUGCUACGUGGCCCUUUGUCUCUUUGGAGCAGGCACCAUGGCUGGUGGGGUCAGUCAGACCCCUAAAUACCUGCUCAAAAAGGAAGGCGGAGCUGUGACCCUGGAAUGUGAACAGGAUUUUGAUUAUGACUCAAUGUGCUGGUACCGACAGGACCCAGGUCUAGGACUGAGGCUGAUCUUCUUCUCGCAAUUUGUAAACAAUGUUCAGGAAGAAGACAUAGCUAAAGGCUACAGUGCCUCUCGUGAAAAGAAGCCUUUCUUUCCUCUUACCGUGACAUCAGCACAGAAGAACCAGACGGCUCUGUAUCUCUGUGCUGCUAGUAGAGACACAGUGACUCAAAGCCACCUCCUCUCUGCACACAAAUGAGUCCUGCUUCCCACCAGGUGGCAGGGCUUUUCU
Molecule: non-coding RNA, 463 nt
Organism: Bubalus bubalis (water buffalo)
Lineage: Eukaryota; Metazoa; Chordata; Mammalia; Artiodactyla; Bovidae
Source: the annotation of a RefSeq genome assembly